This 2294-nucleotide long non-coding RNA is filed under the name Lathyrus oleraceus (garden pea). RNAcentral describes it as "Pisum sativum (pea) long non-coding RNA (PSAT_LNC000701)". The stretch from base 589 to 675 matches the Rfam family "Small nucleolar RNA Z221/R21b". The record is from RNAcentral. Lineage: Eukaryota; Viridiplantae; Streptophyta; Magnoliopsida; Fabales; Fabaceae.
GCAAAACGAAUCCUCACUAACUAGCUUGUUAUUCAAUAGGAUUUUCAAACCCCUCUUCAAAGUUUGCAUUUUUACUCUCGUUUUUAGAUUUUAGCUUCUGGGUUUGUAGUUUAAACUUGUUUUUCUUUUGUUGUUCUAAACAAAUUUUGAUAUUUUGGUAUCUGAAACAUAAACUGGACAGUGAUGAUUCCUUUUAUAGGUCUCGUUCGUCGUAAUUGGUCAUUUUUUGAUCUUGCCGACAAUACUGUUUUCUGAGUCCUCCUUCUUCAAACUGAAUUUUAUUGUAUUUAUCUCAAUCUUAUGUUUCUGUUCGAUUUUGCGUAUGUUGUUUUUUGAUGUCGUAAUGAUUACAAUCAUAUGAAUAUUGUCUAUGAUGAUAUGUUGAAGGCUUGUUUCUCAAAACAUUCGCAGUGGCCGACCAAGAGCUUUCGCCUUCGCCAGGCUUGAGAGCUUAUGCUGUUUUUAUCCUUCCUUGGAUGUCUGAGACAAUAUUCUUAACAAUUUUUCAAAUUUAUAUUUCGAUAUUUGCAUAGAUAAUUAUGGUCAUAUAAUACUAGGUUUCAUUGUUUUACUUGAGGUUUUAUUUACUGGCUAUGAUGAAUUAUAGAGAUAGUCAUGCACCACUCUGAUUUCUAGUGCUGAUAAUUUUCUCAUACCCAUUAUUUUUCUGAGCUAUUUCCAUUUAUCAUCUAUUAAUUACCAUUGUUUUUAUUGGUUCUUCUUUUAUUGAUUUAUAUUAAUGUGAUCUUUAAAUUGGAAACCAAAUGUCAUGAUUUGUUUAUGUAAACUAUUUAAAAACUUUCACCAUUUCCUUAUUUGAAUAAGGAAUCGUGAUUCGUUGUGAAAUGCAACUUUUUUAAAAUUUAAUUUAAAAAAUAUGUUAAUUUUGUUAGAGGAACUUGUUUUAUUGAAUUUACUUUUAUUGUGAGGAACUAAUUCUUAUUUUUGGUAUGACAUAACUAAUGCCUUUUGGUACUGUAAGAGUAUUUUUUUGGUUUUGUUUUAUCGGUUGAUGGAUUAUCGUUUUAUAGGAUUCAUUUGGUUGGAUUGAAUCGGUUAGGACCAAUAAAUUCUAACCUGAAUUCUAUCAUUCCUAUAACACUAAUCACAUGACUACUAAUUAAACUUCAUUCUAUAUAAUUAAAAGAAUUAAUAAACUAUAAAUUAUUUUCAUUAUAUUAAAUUUUCAUCAUCAUCUAAGUGAAAAAGUAUUAGCAUUAUAUUACAAUUACAUUAUCAUUCAAGUGAUAAUUUGAUAUAAAGUUGAAGGUUAUGUGGACUUGGUUAAUUUACUUGGCUGUGUUGUAACCCUUCAUACCAUAAUCAACAUGUUGCUUGAGUAAUAAAUAGGUUAUACAACCCUUUAUACCAUACAAACUUUGCUUUUGCCCAACCCUUUAUACCAUACAAACUUUGCCCAACCCUUUAUACCAUAAUCAACAUGUUGUUGCUUGAGUAAAACAACAUGUUGCUUGAGUAAAAAAAGGUUAUAUAAACUUUGCCCAUGACUAAUCUUAAUAGUCCCGGCUAGUCUUCUUAGUUAUAACAAAUGCAUAAAUCUAUUAGAGUUCACUAUUUUAUAAACGGUAACAUAAGAAGUACUGUAACCAUUAAAAUUGAAAAUCAAAGUCAUACAUACUACAAUAACAGAAAACAAACAAGGGUCUAUAUAAAGGAAUAUUGAAAAAUGAACCUAACAAUAACAGAAAACAAACAAGGAUCUAUAUAAAGGAGUAUUGAAAAAUGAACCUAACAAUAACAGAAAACAAACAAGGGUCUAUAUAAAGGAGUAUUGAAAAAUGAACCUAAUAUGAGAUCUCCUAUAAGGCUAACAACAUAACUUUUGAAUCCAAAUACAAACCUUCCUCCCUACAUAUCAAAGCUCAAAGGUUGACCAAAUGGAGCCUGCAAAAUAAAAUAAAGGUAUCUUAGUAGUUGUUGCAACGGUAUCUUAGUAGUUGUUGCAACACAGCUAAGUAGGUUCAGUUGGCAAGGUGUCAUUUCAUAUUUCAUAAAUAAUCCCCAACCUCCAAUUUGAGGGGGAGUAUUAGAGUUAGUUAAUUAGCUGAAUUUCAAAUGUAUUUUAAUUAGUUACUUGAUCAAUAAGUUAGCCAAGUCCACAUGUUUGUUACAAGUUGUAGGACUUGUGAUCUUCAGCUUUCUUCUUCUUCUCUCAAGUCAUCACCAAUUUGUGAUGGUGAUGUAGUUAACUUUUCUUAAAUAUUUGAGAAUAUUUUGGCUUAUAAUGAACUUGUAAUGUAAGGGGAAGCAUAUGCAUUUAAUAAAGAAUCAGC